This 70-nucleotide transfer RNA is filed under the name Dicaeum concolor. RNAcentral's name for it is "tRNA-Lys". It matches the Rfam family "tRNA". Rfam says of the family: Transfer RNA (tRNA) molecules are approximately 80 nucleotides in length. Their secondary structure includes four short double-helical elements and three loops (D, anti-codon, and T loops). Further hydrogen bonds mediate the characteristic L-shaped molecular structure. tRNAs have two regions of fundamental functional importance: the anti-codon, which is responsible for specific mRNA codon recognition, and the 3' end, to which the tRNAs corresponding amino acid is attached (by aminoacyl-tRNA synthetases). tRNAs cope with the degeneracy of the genetic code in two manners: having more than one tRNA (with a specific anti-codon) for a particular amino acid; and 'wobble' base-pairing, i.e. permitting non-standard base-pairing at the 3rd anti-codon position. Lineage: Eukaryota; Metazoa; Chordata; Aves; Passeriformes; Dicaeidae. The record is from RNAcentral.
CAUUGAGAAGCUAUGAACCAAGCAUUAGCCUUUUAAGCUAAAGAAAGAGGGAUUAACCCCUCCUCAAUGG